Non-coding RNA from Ictidomys tridecemlineatus (thirteen-lined ground squirrel), 7035 nucleotides. NCBI's taxonomy places the organism in Eukaryota, Metazoa, Chordata, Mammalia, Rodentia, Sciuridae. The record is from RefSeq and is a predicted model, not a curated record.
UUUGAGGAAAGACGAAAAGCCAAAAGUUAUUGUCUAUGAUAGUAAGAUAGGAUCGGAAAGGAUAGGAUAUGAACAGGAUAGGAGAGUUUAUUGUUAUUGCUGGGCAAUAAUUAAGGUUAGUGAUCAUGAACUUAAAAGUAAAACCAAUUAACAUAACUGUGCGUUUAUCUACAGACAUGGUUCCAUGAUGGUUUUAUUUAUUAACACAUUCCAAGCUGCUAUAACAGACAAAUCCUGAAAUUGCACUGACCUGAUCCAAUAGAAAUACAUUUCAGUAACAUAAAAUUUAAUAAUUAGUGGGACAUGGUAGAGUGUAAUCCCAGGUCAUACAAUCCCAUCUCUCAGUGAUACUGGCUGGUAGAAGCUCAACCCUUGUUUUCCAAAGUCAUAUUGGUCAUUGAUACCCAGUUGGAAAUUUGUGGAAAAGAAAAAAAAAUUGAUUUUCAAGAAAUUUUAUAUAUGUCUGGCCUGAAAGUGGCAUGCAUCAUUUCUUCUCAUAUGUCAUCCACUAAAAUUCAAUGUCAUGGCAGCACCUUAAGCCAACCGAUGCUAGUAAAUACUGUUUAGCUUUAUAACUAGGAAGAAAGGGAAAUAGUUUAAUGAACUAAUAGGCAAUCCCCAUGUAAAGGGGAGACAUCUCUGUCCAUGCAAGCAGAGAAUGAGGCAAACAAUUUAAUCAGGGUUUUCAUUUUUUUCCAACAGUACCAAGAAAGUAAAACACAAAGUGGUCCCAAACAUGUGCAAGGAAUUAUUAUAAUGACUGACCUUGAAUUUAAACUGUAUAAAGAAUAUAUGGAAAGAGAAAGCGUGUUAGGACUGAUGCACUGAGGUGCCUGGAGUGGUGAAAGGAUUGUUUAAGCUGUCAUCCUAGUGAGCAUUGGCUGGCAAGGGAGGAGGUGUUGGUUGGAGAAUGUGAGGUUUGAAAUUGAAAACCUGGAAGCAUUGCAGUGUUGGCCUUUACAAAGAUAAGAGCAUGACCCUAAAAGUUAGUUUCCAAGACACUGUACAAGAUCAACUGGGAGAGAGUCUGUGAAGGAAUUUAGAUCCAGGACACUGACAGGUGACCUGUGCAGAUAUUGAAAGGUUGAAGAGCACGAUGGAGAUCCAGGUGCCAAAAUCUUUGAGAAGAAAUGUGAAAAAUAAGAGCAGUGGAUGACUUGGAAAGCAAUUUAGCAAAUAGAAGGACAUGAUUCAGUGGUUGGUUGUUGGCGGUGAAGAUAAAGGAAACAUCAAGAGUUAAGUCCAAGUUUCUCACUUAAUGUAAAUGGUGGAUAGCCAGAUAGCCUCUUGGUUUACAGGAGAGAAGCACUCCUUAAUAGUAACCAUCUUUUUGUCUCUCAUCUACAGAAAAGAAAACAGAGAGAUUAUAAUUGAUUGACUCAAAUUCCAGCUAGUGCAGAUUCACCAAUCCCUUCCUCACCAUCUGACACAGCUCAUAGUUUUAACAAUUACCUUUUUCUAACUUCUAACCUAAAGUUGUAAGCACUGCUCAGAGUAAAAUAGGCCAAAGAACAAGAAAUUGGUUUUUGAAAUUAGUGGCAUGGAAUAAUCAUUGAUGGCAGUAAGAGCUGUUUUGGCAGAGCGCAUAUGCACACAGGACAUAAGGCUGAUAGAAUAUGUAAGGAGAGAGUGGGGACAUAUAUACACAUUUUGGAUACUCAAGAUAUCUGUCAACAUAAACAGAGAAAGAGAGAAGAGAGGGUAGAGGUAAAAUUGGGGUCAAGAAAAGUUUUGUUUUUGUUAAUUUUGCUUUGUCUUAAAGAUGUAAAGAACUUUUUAAAUGCUUAUAGGAAGGAAGUGCUGGAGAAAGAGGAAUAGAUUACCUGAAACACAAGAGAUGAUUGACAUCGUGUGCUUCCUGGGAGAGUGAAAGGGAUUGAAUGAGGGGUAUGGGUGGAAGGACUGGACUUAAACAUGGUGGGGGACAGUGUUUCUUCCUUUGAAAAUGAGGGGAGGAAGUUAAGAUAGAUGAGGAUGUCCUCUUAUUGAGGGAUUUAAUGGUGUCUCAUCUAAUACUUUCUAUUUCUCUCUUUCAGGAAAUAAACUGACCUGAAAGAUGAGUCUGUCAUGGUAUAAAUUGAGGCCAAGAAAAGAUAUAGAAUAGUUGUGAAUAAGUGAGGCUAGUGAAAAAUAAAUAGAGUAGGAUAUGCAGGUACUGUUAGUGACCUAGAUGACAAUGGGUAAUAAUAACAUCACUCGCCCCUAUUUGUUAUUUCCUCCAGGAUUGUCCAGCUGCCCAAGACAUAGAAAAUGGAUUCCUUCAGGAUUUACUUUUGCUAAAUGAAUGCAAUGAAAAGACCAAAGGAUUAAAGUUCACAAGGAGGAAAAAAAGAAUAACUGAAAUAAUGGAGCAUUGGAAUCUAAGCUGAAAAUGAGGGCUGGGAAGAUAAGAGGUGUCUGUGGUUAUGUUUGUGAUUAUAGUUCAAUUUAAGGGGAAGUAUUUCUGCCACCAUAGAAUGGAAUCAGAUAACAUGGAAUCUUUUUGGUCUGGCUCUUUAGAUCAGCAAGAUGAUCUUGAAAUUUAUCCAUCUUGGUGAGUAUUUCAGUAGUUUUGCUUCCUUUUAUUGUUGAGUAGUACUCCACUGUAUAAAUAUUUCACAAUUAUUUACUUAUUUUGGACAUUUUGGUUGUUUCCACCUUGAGGUCAUUAGGAGUAAAUUUGCUAUAAACAUUCAUGCAUGAGUCUUUUUGUGGACACACAUUUUCUUUUUUUCUUGGGUAAAUACCUAGAAAAGACUUAAAAGAGAAUUACUUGGUCCACUUUUUAAAGGUAUAUUUAACUAUAAGAAAUUGCCAAAUUAUUUUCCAAUUGUUUUAUCAUUUUAUAUCCCCAGUAACAGUGUAUGAAAGUUCUAGUUGCUAUAUGCAGAUGAUACUGUCAGGUUUUCAUUUCUAUAAUUGUAGCUAAUCUAAUAGACAUAUAGUAGUAUCUGACGUUGUUUUAAAUUUGCAUUUCCCUGACGACUAAAGAAGUUCAACAUCUGUUUCUGAGCUUAUUAGCCAUUUGUACAUCUGUUUUGUGAGGUGCUUGUUCAAAUUAUUAUUAAUAUUUUGGUCUUGUUAUUGUUGAAGAAUUUCUUACUGUAUUCUGAAUCUAAGUCCUUUAGCAGAUGUAUGUGUUAUGAAUAUUGCUUUCAGCCUGAGACUUGACUGGUUUUUGUUUUUUUGUUUUGUUUUGUUUUGUUUUUUUAGUAGUGUCAUUAGCAGAGCAAAAUUUUUACUUUUACUUGAUUCCAUUUUUAAAAGUUCUUUUGCGGGACCCAUACUGUUUUUGUCAUAAGAAUUCCUUAUUUACUCUCAUGCCUCAAAGAUUUUCUUAAAUUUUUUUUUAACUGUUCAGAAAUGAAACUGUCCUGUGAAAUAUUGAGCAACUUUUUCUUCUUUAUUGAGGGGGAAGUUAGGCCAACUGUAUGUUAAAUUGUGUCUUAGUGAGUAUUUUUUAAAACAGUUCCUGAGAUUUUUCUAUGAAAAAAAAGAUAUUUUUUUUCUAAAUUACAUAGUUGAAUCAGCACAUACUCCUCAGAAAAUAUACCCUCCAUUAGUAAGAAUAAAUAUAGUCCAAGAGCAAAUCUAAAUGCCUCACGAAAAAUAUUUAUAAGAGCCAUCCUUCUAAAGAUGUCCUAGGCACCAGAAGAUCAUUCUCGAUGGAACAAAAAGGCUCUAUGAAAAUGUAGCACCCACCUGGGCCGUAGAUAAUGGCAGAAUAAGGGCAAAAAGGCAGCAUCCCGUGCAGCAUGGUAUAAAAAGGUACAUGGAGGCCUAUUUAUUAAAAGUAGGGAUUUUAGGCAACAGUAGGCUCUGCCACUUGGCUGGAGAUUAGCUCCAUUUUAGGAUCAUAGUGAGGCCUAUGACUGCAAAGAUAGCUUGGAAGAGUAUUAACUGUGAUGUGAAGUGCUCACUAGGUUUUUCCUGGAAGAACACACCCAUUUCAAGCAGAGAAAGAGUAGAGUCAAUCAGGUGCUUUAGAAAGGCUAUUGGCAGUGCCUUGGUGAGCAUGGUGCAAGAGGUGAAGACAGACACCUGUCGGGAUUCAGAGGGAGCAGACUCCACUUCCCCUUCUACAGGCGUGCACGUCCGGUCUCUGCAUCAUGAUUGUCAGUCUUUUGCGAAGCAUUUUAUUUUGCAAUUUUGAAUAGAAAUGGAAAUAAGAGGCUCUCCAGAGAAAAAUCCUGUGCAAGCAAAAUGUGUUCCAGCAAGACUCAUGAAAGCACUUGAUACUGUUAUCUACUAGGAGAGCGAAUGAAAUUAUCACUUGAUAAAGCCCAAAGAAAACUUGAUGGUUUCAGAUAAAACGAGUGAUCUUCGCAAAGGAAAAGUACUUCACAGAAGCCGGAAAUUGGGACACCAAAGGGAGGAAGCUGGUUGUGCACCAGUAGCUGUAUCUCCAUCUCUUCCAGGAUGGUAGCUCCUCCUCUUUCCUACUGGUCCCUUGGCUUGAAGAUCCUGAAGUGCCUAGGAAGCAGCACAGCCUUAAAUUCAGUGGGCUGCAUUCCCCUUUGAGAAACAAGUCAUCUGCCCCCCACAUAGCUCAAAAGAUUCAAAGAAAAGAAGUGCUCAUUUUCCAAGAGGAUAAUGCACAAUGAUGGUACCAAGACCCACCAAUUUUGUGUACUGGGGACAUAAUACCAUAUGACAAAUCAUUGAUUUAAAGUGUAUGCCACAUCCUAAAUGAUUAGCUUUGUUUUCUAAAAAUUUUUUGAUCACUCUCUCAGAACUUAAUCUUCUGUGGAGUACGGUAUGGGAUUCAAUCACCAGAUUCCAUGGACAUGUGCCCACUGCCUCACUUUCUUUGCUGUAAAGUGGUUGUAUUAGUCAACUUUUUUUUACUGUGACCAAAAUAUCCAAUAAAAACAACUUAGAAGAGGAAGAGUUCAUUUUUGGCCCAUAGUUUUAGAGGGUCUGAACCUAAGGUGUAGCAGAGCAUUAUGGCAAUAGGCAUGGCAGAGGAAAGCUACUCACCUCCUGGUAACCAGGAAGAAGAGAGACAGAAGAGCCAAGGACAAGAUAUAUUAUAACCCCAAGGCACAAGCACAGUGACUCACCUCCUCUAGCCACGUCCCCCCCCCCAGCUUCUUACAGUUAUCAUCAUUCAAGUUAUUAAUCCAUCAGAUGGAUUAAUCCACUAAUUAGGUUAUGGCUUUCAUGAUCUGAUCAUAUCACCUCCUACAUUAACACAGAAGCUUCUGGGGGACACAUUAUAACCUAAACCAUAACAGUGGGUAUCCUCAAUAUUGUGCCUAAAUUGUACACUAACAGGAGUGAAUGGAAGGAGAUACACUGGGUCGUCAUUGGUUAAUGACAUGGGGCUCCCAGACUUCGGGCCCUCCUUUAUUCACAGCUUACUGUAUACGCUAGCCUUCUGACUUCAGAUGUGCCACUCCUCAACCUGGUGAGAACUGAUUGGAAAAAGUCAUCCUCCAAUCAAAAUUGGACCUAAGAAGUAUAGCACAUCGUCCCUUACAUGCUCUAAUGAUUUCAGAUGCUAACUAGAUGUUUUCUCAUUGUUCCCUACCCAAGACUGAUAUUAUUGUUCUCUCUCAGAAGAAACUGAGCUUCAGAAGAAAGUACCUUCUCCUCUGCAACUGUCUAGCUUACAUCUUCCAUGUAUUUUCAAAAAUAAAGCCACAGAACCCUACAAAAUAGAGAACCCUUCUUCUGUAAACGAUUUCAUUUAUUCUAAAUAUUUCCACUUCUUUCAAUUGUGCAUGUUUCUCAGACGAGUUACCCUUCCCUGUCCAAACUCAGUUCACCAAUGUCCCUCCUAAAGUUUGAGGUUAUUUACCAUGAAUAUAUUUAUAAGCAAAGCCUCCCUAAUUCUUUUCACUGAAGCUUAUAUUUCAAAAUGAAGUAUAAAACUUUACAAGUUUUUCUCCUAAUUAAAUUUCCUGUUCUUAGAUUUAGCCUCCUGUUCCAGACUAUGAAGCAAUGUCAUAGUUCUGGGAUCUAACCCAUUAUUCAGCUGAAUGAACUAUAAAAAGUACACUGUGCUAGUGUGAGAAAUGUUUCCGGUCUUAACUGUUACCAUUCAUUCUCCCUGCUGUGCGGGAAGAAUUUUACAGUAUUACUCAAUCACAAAAAUUCUAUUAAUAUUAUGGAAAUAAAAUAUUCAACAAGUUUUUGAGUUUAUGCAUACCAAAUGUUAGCAACUACCAAAAAUGUGCUUUAGCUUUACUGAGUAACCUUCAGAUACAAGAAAAUAGAAAGGGGCCAGGACUUUAGGACCAUGUACUUAUAAGUACAACAAAAAAAAAGACUCACAUGUCUGAAUCCAUCUGAAGUCCUUCAGAUGAGCCUCCACAACCUACUGGUGGGCCUCCAAGUAGAUGUUGGGAAACAUCAUUCUACACUUAUGUCAAUUUGUUAAUCUGGAUAUUCUGAAUAUACUGCAUACAGCUAGAGGGUUUUUUUUUUUUCAUUUCAUUCAAGGUAGUAUAAUAAGAUGUCCCUUUCUUCUUUUUCAUCUCUAAAUGCAAAGGGUUUAUAUUUGAGUCUACAAGGGAACUGAGUCAGUUAAAGAAAAAGUGAGGUAAGAUUGGCAUUCCUGGGACGUACAUCCUAACAUCUGUAACACCACCCUGUGCGUCCCCGCCUGCCUGUCCUCAGAGGCAUGGUGAAUACCAUAAAUUUUGAAUAUUUACUACCCUAUCCACAAUGUCUGCAGAAACAUGUGUAUCAAUCAUACAAGACACAUCAUUCCACCAAAGUUUUAAUGGUAUAAAAUGAGUAUCUAAACAAAUGGCAUAAAAGCUGAUUUUUGUAUUUUUUAAAAUUUAUAUUUUUCCCAUAAACCACAAUCUAGUCCAUGUUAUUUCCUGAAUCUGCCUCUGCCCAACAUAAUCCUUUGUUUAGGAAGCUUUUCAUUGUGGAUCAUGGGUGUAUAUAGGUGGACCACUGAUCCUGAGCCUACGUAUCCAUGAUGAUGACAUUCAGUUAGUCUAUUGAUUGAAAUAAGCUUGAAAAUACUGUGUAUUCUACUAAGGUAGAUUUUCCUGUUCAGAGAGUACAUAUAAAUACACCUAAGAUUGGACUCUCUGU